RNAcentral lists this long non-coding RNA (311 nucleotides) under Polistes fuscatus (common paper wasp). RNAcentral describes it as "uncharacterized LOC122517734". Lineage: Eukaryota; Metazoa; Arthropoda; Insecta; Hymenoptera; Vespidae. The record is from RNAcentral.
UAAUAUGAUUAACUGUAUAAUCUUAUUACCAUACUAAAAUUGCAACAAAUUAUUAACAAGAAUAUAUGCUGAGAAAUAAAAAAAACGAAUUUUAAUGUCAGAUUAUGUAAAUUGAUUGUUUGUUUUUUAUACGCAGAGAUUAUAAUGGUAGAAUUCCGUCGUAAUGGGGUUGACUUUGACCCUGAAUCAGAGGCGAAAAAGUCUUCCAAAUAAAAAAGGUACACGUACCUGAUUGAUGACGCAAUUGGAAACAAAGAACACGCUAAAGGUCAUUGUCAACUAAAAAUAAGCACAAAUAUAAUGAAGGAAAA